GACGAACGCUGGCGGCGUGCCUAAUACAUGCAAGUCGAACGCUUCUUUCCUCCCGAGUGCUUGCACUCAAUUGGAAAGAGGAGUGGCGGACGGGUGAGUAACACGUGGGUAACCUACCCAUCAGAGGGGGAUAACACUUGGAAACAGGUGCUAAUACCGCAUAACAGUUUAUGCCGCAUGGCAUAAGAGUGAAAGGCGCUUUCGGGUGUCGCUGAUGGAUGGACCCGCGGUGCAUUAGCUAGUUGGUGAGGUAACGGCUCACCAAGGCCACGAUGCAUAGCCGACCUGAGAGGGUGAUAGGCCACACUGGGACUGAGACACGGCCCAGACUCCUACGGGAGGCAGCAGUAGGGAAUCUUCGGCAAUGGACGAAAGUCUGACCGAGCAACGCCGCGUGAGUGAAGAAGGUUUUCGGAUCGUAAAACUCUGUUGUUAGAGAAGAACAAGGACGUUAGUAACUGAACGUCCCCUGACGGUAUCUAACCAGAAAGCCACGGCUAACUACGUG
RNAcentral lists this ribosomal RNA (508 nucleotides) under uncultured bacterium. Its description in RNAcentral is "partial 16S ribosomal RNA". It matches the Rfam family "Bacterial small subunit ribosomal RNA", at positions 28 to 507 of the family's 1533-position model. The record is from RNAcentral.